CCAGACUCCUACGGGAGGCAGCAGUCGGGAAUAUUGCGCAAUGGAGGAAACUCUGACGCAGUGACGCCGCGUAUAGGAAGAAGGUUUUCGGAUUGUAAACUAUUGUCGUUAGGGAAGAUAAAAGACAGUACCUAAGGAGGAAGCCCCGGCUAACUACGUGCCAGCAGCCGCGGUAAUACGUAGGGGGCAAGCGUUAUCCGGAUUUACUGGGUGUAAAGGGAGCGUAGACGGUAUGGCAAGUCUGAUGUGAAAACCCGGGGCUCAACCUCGGGACUGCAUUGGAAACUGUCGGACUAGAGUGUCGGAGAGGCAAGUGGAAUUCCUAGUGUAGCGGUGAAAUGCGUAGAUAUUAGGAGGAACACCAGUGGCGAAGGCGGCUUGCUGGACGAUGACUGACGUUGAGGCUCGAAAGCGUGGGGAGCAAACAGGAUUAGAUACCCCAGUAC
Molecule: ribosomal RNA, 446 nt
Filed under: uncultured bacterium
Lineage: Bacteria
Description: bacterial SSU rRNA
Rfam family: Bacterial small subunit ribosomal RNA
Source: RNAcentral